RNAcentral lists this ribosomal RNA (456 nucleotides) under uncultured bacterium. RNAcentral's name for it is "bacterial SSU rRNA". It matches the Rfam family "Bacterial small subunit ribosomal RNA", at positions 15 to 507 of the family's 1533-position model. The record is from RNAcentral.
GAUCAUGGCUCAGAACGAACGCUGGCGGCAGGCUUAACACAUGCAAGUCGAACGAGCUGGGAACUUCGGUUCCCGAUGCUAGUGGCGCACGGGCGAGUAACACGUGGGAACAUACCCUUUAGUACGGAAUAACUCAGGGAAACUUGAGCUAAUACCGUAUGACUCCUUCGGGAGAAAGAUUUAUCGCUAAAGGAAUGGCCCGCGUCUGAUUAGGUAGUUGGUGAGGUAACGGCUCACCAAGCCGACGAUCAGUAGCUGGUCUGAGAGGAUGAUCAGCCACACUGGGACUGAGACACGGCCCAGACUCCUACGGGAGGCAGCAGUGGGGAAUAUUGGACAAUGGGCGAAAGCCUGAUCCAGCCAUGCCGCGUGAGUGAAGAAGGCCUUCGGGUUGUAAAGCUCUUCGACGGGACGAUGAUGACGGUACCCGUAUAAGAAGCCCCGGCAAACUUCGUG